AUUGAACGCUGGCGGCAUGCCUUACACAUGCAAGUCGAACGGCAGCGGGGGAGAAGCUUGCUUUUCCUGCCGGCGAGUGGCGAACGGGUGAGUAAUACAUCGGAACGUGCCCUGUAGUGGGGGAUAACUAGUCGAAAGAUUAGCUAAUACCGCAUACGACCUGAGGGUGAAAGUGGGGGACCGCAAGGCCUCAUGCUAUAGGAGCGGCCGAUGUCUGAUUAGGCAGUUGGUGGGGUAAAGGCCUAGCAAGGCGACGAUCAGUAGCUGGUCUGAGAGGACGAUCAGCCACACUGGGAAUGAGACACGGCCCAGACUCCUACGGGAGGCAGCAGUGGGGAAUUUUGGACAAUGGGCGAAAGCCUGAUCCAGCAAUGCCGCGUGUGUGAAGAAGGCCUUCGGGUUGUAAAGCACUUUUGUCCGGAAAGAAAUGGCUCUGGUUAAUACCUGGGGUCGAUGACGGUACCGGAAGAAUAAGGACCGGCUAACUACGUGCCAGCCGCCGCAGUAA
RNAcentral lists this ribosomal RNA (508 nucleotides) under uncultured bacterium. RNAcentral describes it as "partial 16S ribosomal RNA". It matches the Rfam family "Bacterial small subunit ribosomal RNA", at positions 30 to 523 of the family's 1533-position model. The record is from RNAcentral.